Molecule: ribosomal RNA, 468 nt
Filed under: uncultured bacterium
Lineage: Bacteria
Description: partial 16S ribosomal RNA
Rfam family: Bacterial small subunit ribosomal RNA
Source: RNAcentral
GACGAACGCUGGCGGCGUGCUUAACACAUGCAAGUCGAACGGAAAGGCCCUGCUUUUGCGGCUUUCUCGUUUGGCGCACGGGUGUGUAACACGUGUGUAACCUGCCCUUGUCUUUGUGAUAUCUUCACGAAACUGGGGCUAAUACCGGAUAUGAUCUCCUGCUGCAUGUUGUUGGUUGGAAAGUUUCGGCGGUUGGGGAUGGACUCGCGGCUUAUCAGCUUGUUGGUGUGGUAGUGGCUUACCAAGGCUUUGACGGGUAGCCGGCCUGAGAGGGUGAACGGCGACAUUGGGACUGAGAUACGGACCAGAAGCGUACGGGAGGCAGCAGGGGGGAAUAUUGCAGAAUGGGCGGAAGCCUGAUGCAGAAACGCCGGGUGCGGGAUGACGGCCUUCGGGUUGUAAACCGAUUUCGAAUGUGACGAAGCGUGAGUGACGGUAAUGGGUAAAGAAGCAACGGCUAACUACGUG